This 459-nucleotide ribosomal RNA is filed under the name uncultured bacterium. RNAcentral describes it as "partial 16S ribosomal RNA". It matches the Rfam family "Bacterial small subunit ribosomal RNA", at positions 338 to 795 of the family's 1533-position model. The record is from RNAcentral.
CCUACGGGCGGCAGCAGUGAGGAAUAUUGGUCAAUGGGCGGGAGCCUGAACCAGCCAAGCCGCGUGAGGGAAGAAGGUACAGCGUAUCGUAAACCUCUUUUGUCAGGGAACAAAGGCGGGGACUAGUCCCCGGAUGAGGGUACCUGAAGAAAAAGCAUCGGCUAACUCCGUGCCAGCAGCCGCGGUAAUAGGGAGGAUGCGAGCGUUAUCGGGAUUUAUUGGGUUUAAAGGGUGCGCAGGCGGCCGGUUAAGUGAGCGGGAAAAGCCCGGGGCUCAACCCCGGCGAGCCGUUGAAACUGGCGGGCUGGAGUUGGAGAGAGGUACGCGGAAUGCGCGGUGUAGCGGUGAAAUGCUUAGAUAUCGCGCAGAACCCCGAUGGCGAAGGCAGCGUACCGGCUCCACACUGACGCUGAGGCACGAAAGCGUGGGUAUCGAACAGGAUUAGAUACCCCUGUAGUC